RNAcentral lists this ribosomal RNA (1372 nucleotides) under uncultured bacterium. Its description in RNAcentral is "bacterial SSU rRNA". It matches the Rfam family "Bacterial small subunit ribosomal RNA", at positions 28 to 1381 of the family's 1533-position model. The record is from RNAcentral.
GAUGAACGCUGGCGGCGUGCCUAAUACAUGCAAGUCGAGCGAACAGACAAGGAGCUUGCUCCUUUGACGUUAGCGGCGGACGGGUGAGUAACACGUGGGUAACCUACCUAUAAGACUGGGAUAACUUCGGGAAACCGGAGCUAAUACCGGAUAAUAUUUCGAACCGCAUGGUUCGAUAGUGAAAGAUGGUUUUGCUAUCACUUAUAGAUGGACCCGCGCCGUAUUAGCUAGUUGGUAAGGUAACGGCUUACCAAGGCGACGAUACGUAGCCGACCUGAGAGGGUGAUCGGCCACACUGGAACUGAGACACGGUCCAGACUCCUACGGGAGGCAGCAGUAGGGAAUCUUCCGCAAUGGGCGAAAGCCUGACGGAGCAACGCCGCGUGAGUGAUGAAGGUCUUCGGAUCGUAAAACUCUGUUAUUAGGGAAGAACAUACGUGUAAGUAACUAUGCACGUCUUGACGGUACCUAAUCAGAAAGCCACGGCUAACUACGUGCCAGCAGCCGCGGUAAUACGUAGGUGGCAAGCGUUAUCCGGAAUUAUUGGGCGUAAAGCGCGCGUAGGCAGUUUUUUAAGUCUGAUGUGAAAGCCCACGGCUCAACCGUGGAGGGUCAUUGGAAACUGGAAAACUUGAGUGCAGAAGAGGAAAGUGGAAUUCCAUGUGUAGCGGUGAAAUGCGCAGAGAUAUGGAGGAACACCAGUGGCGAAGGCGACUUUCUGGUCUGUAACUGACGCUGACGUGCGAAAGCGUGGGGAUCAAACAGGAUUAGAUACCCUGGUAGUCCACGCCGUAAACGAUGAGUGCUAAGUGUUAGGGGGUUUCCGCCCCUUAGUGCUGCAGCUAACGCAUUAAGCACUCCGCCUGGGGAGUACGACCGCAAGGUUGAAACUCAAAGGAAUUGACGGGGACCCGCACAAGCGGUGGAGCAUGUGGUUUAAUUCGAAGCAACGCGAAGAACCUUACCAAAUCUUGACAUCCUUUGACAACUCUAGAGAUAGAGCCUUCCCCUUCGGGGGACAAAGUGACAGGUGGUGCAUGGUUGUCGUCAGCUCGUGUCGUGAGAUGUUGGGUUAAGUCCCGCAACGAGCGCAACCCUUAAGCUUAGUUGCCAUCAUUAAGUUGGGCACUCUAAGUUGACUGCCGGUGACAAACCGGAGGAAGGUGGGGAUGACGUCAAAUCAUCAUGCCCCUUAUGAUUUGGGCUACACACGUGCUACAAUGGACAAUACAAAGGGCAGCGAAACCGCGAGGUCAAGCAAAUCCCAUAAAGUUGUUCUCAGUUCGGAUUGUAGUCUGCAACUCGACUACAUGAAGCUGGAAUCGCUAGUAAUCGUAGAUCAGCAUGCUACGGUGAAUACGUUCCCGGGUCU